CUGUUGCCCAUCUUCGUCAGUUUCAGAGGGUAGAUUUCUCAGUGUUGAUUUUCCCCCAGUUCUCCACGCCCUCGUGCUUUUUUUUUUUUUUUAAUUUCCUUAAAUGUCGGCACCUCAGCUAGCCUCUUUUUCCCAUCUUCGUCCGUUUCAGCGGGUAGACUCUCCGCCUGCCUUCGACAGACCCUCUGCGCUUGAAAGCUUUCCUCCUCCCGUCAUCACGGUCCUUCUCGGAUGACGUGCCUGGUUUCGGUUUGACCGUCCCCGCCCGCCCUGAUUUUCUAAGUCCUCCCGGGAGCCCCGGGGGCGCUCCGGCCGCUCCGGGAAGCGGCGGCCUCCCGGCCGCACCGGCUCAGCCCGGCCCGGGCCGACCCCUGGCCUCUCUGGGGGAACUCUCCCCGUCCCCUUCCCGCUCCGGCGACGCGGGCCAAGGGACGGGACUCGGCCGCGGUGACCGAGGCAGAGUCCCGGGAGGCCGGCGUCGCUGGCGGGAUCUGGCCCGGUGGCGCCGGUGCGUGAGCGCGACGCCCGCUCGCCGGAGAUUGGAGGUGCAGGCUACUGAGGGAGGUGGCUGUCGCCGCGCCGCCCGGUGCCGGCCGGGGUGUGGGGCCUCCCGGACGGGUCGACCAGCAGCCGCCGGUGCCCCUCCGUCCCCGGGAGGGGGUGGGGGGCCACCGCGGGGGAACGGGCGAGGGAACUCGUCCCGUGCCCGGCCGUCGUCCUGAGGGCGGCCCGGUGGUCGGGCCUUCCGCGUCGCCGAUCCCCUUUCCGCGCCCCGCUCCGGAGGUGGGGGACCGGCCGGGGCCUUGCGGGGGAGGCCCGUGGAGGGCGCGACGGGCUCGGCCGCCGGGCUGGCCUUUUCCCCACUGGUCUUCCGAGUCGACCGGCUCUGGCGGUGGGGACCGGGCCCGGUCCUCGGAUGCCUCCUCCUCCGUGGCAGUUUUUU
Molecule: non-coding RNA, 943 nt
Organism: Equus caballus (horse)
Lineage: Eukaryota; Metazoa; Chordata; Mammalia; Perissodactyla; Equidae
Source: RefSeq, a predicted model, not a curated record